Molecule: ribosomal RNA, 460 nt
Filed under: uncultured bacterium
Lineage: Bacteria
Description: partial 16S ribosomal RNA
Rfam family: Bacterial small subunit ribosomal RNA
Source: RNAcentral
CCUACGGGCGGCUGCAGUGAGGAAUAUUGGUCAAUGGGCGUAAGCCUGAACCAGCCAAGUCGCGUGAGGGAUGAAGGUUCUAUGGAUCGUAAACCUCUUUUAUAAGGGAGUAAAGUGUGGGACGUGUCCUAUUUUUUAUGUACCUUAUGAAUAAGGAUCGGCUAACUCCGUUCCAGCAGCCGCGGUAAUUCGGAGGAUCCGGGCGUUAUCCGGAUUUAUUGGGUUUAAAGGGUGCGUAGGCGGCCUUUUAAGUAAGCGGUGAAAGUCUGUGGCUCAACCAUAGAAUUGCCGUUGAAACUGGGGGGCUUGAGGAUGUUUGAGGCAGGGGGAAUGCGUGGUGUAGCGGUGAAAUGCUUAGAUAUCACGCAGAACCCCGAUUGCGAAGGCAGCAUGCCAAGCCAUGACUGACGCUGAUGCACGAAAGCGUGGGGAUCAAACAGGAUUAGAGACCCGUGUAGUC